This 450-nucleotide ribosomal RNA is filed under the name uncultured bacterium. RNAcentral describes it as "partial 16S ribosomal RNA". It matches the Rfam family "Bacterial small subunit ribosomal RNA", at positions 354 to 796 of the family's 1533-position model. The record is from RNAcentral.
GUGGGGAAUAUUGGACAAUGGGGGGAACCCUGAUCCAGCCAUGCCGCGUGUGUGAAGAAGGCCUUUUGGUUGUAAAGCACUUUAAGCGAGGAGGAGGCUACCGAGAUUAAUACUCUUGGAUAGUGGACGUUACUCGCAGAAUAAGCACCGGCUAACUCUGUGCCAGCAGCCGCGGUAAUACAGAGGGUGCAAGCGUUAAUCGGAUUUACUGGGCGUAAAGCGCGCGUAGGUGGCCAAUUAAGUCAAAUGUGAAAUCCCCGAGCUUAACUUGGGAAUUGCAUUCGAUACUGGUUGGCUAGAGUAUGGGAGAGGAUGGUAGAAUUCCAGGUGUAGCGGUGAAAUGCGUAGAGAUCUGGAGGAAUACCGAUGGCGAAGGCAGCCAUCUGGCCUAAUACUGACACUGAGGUGCGAAAGCAUGGGGAGCAAACAGGAUAGAAACCCCAGUAGUCC